GGGGUGUCAAAUCGGAUCAACGGAUCGGGUUUGGGUCGGACUCGUCGGAUUCGGGUUGAAACGGAUCGGAUUGGAACGGAUUAAUUUGGCUAACGGGUCGGAUCGGAUCGGAUUGAAAACUUAAUAGACCGGAUCGGGUCGGAUUUUUUAUUCACGGAUUCAUAUCGGAUCGGGUUGUAAACGGGUCGGAUUGUAGUCGGUUUGGGUCGGAUCGGAUCGGAUUGGAAUACGACGGAUUGUUAACGGGUUUAGUCGGACUAUAACGGGUUCGGGUUCAUGUCGGUCGGAUUCAUAUCGGAUCGGAUUCAUUUCGGGUCGGAUUCAUAUCGGAUCGGAUUCAUUUCGGAUCGGAUUCAUAUCGGAUCGGAUUAAUCGGUAACAGACUAAAACGGGUUGGAUUGAAACUAAUUUAGCCUGGUUACAUUGGAUUCAGUUUUAUAUUGGUUUGGGUAAUUAUCGGAUCGGGUUAUUUGGUAGCGGGUUGGAAUUUGGGUCAGUUCGGUUCCAAAUUAUAUAUUAUCAUAUCGAUGACUUAAUUAGGGGACGAAAAUAAUAAAUAACUUUUAAAAGUAAUAAGAAUUUAAGAUUAGUAAUAUAAGUUAUUGAAUAUAUUAUUAUAUCGAUGGGUUGGAAUUAGUUCGGAUUAAACAGGUCACGGAUUAAAAACGGAUCGGAUUAAAAGGGUCACGGGUUGAAACGGGUCGGAUUAAACGGGUCACAGAUUAAAAACGGGUCGGAUUAAACGGAUAUUCCUCGGGUUGGAACGGAUUCGGAUUGAAACGGAUCGGAUUGUAAACGGGUUUCGGAUCGCUUCGGAUCGGAUUAAAUGGAUCCGGAUUGUCAUGGAUCGGUCUGUUAACGGAUUCGGAUCUUAAUCGGAUCAAUACUAACGGGUUGGGUCGGAUUCGGGUUGAAUAUAAUCGGAUCGGAUCGGAUUUCGGAUUUUAACUCGCGGGUUCUAAACGGUUCGGAUUCUAAACGGUCGGACAAACCCAUCGGGUUCACUGGAUCGGAUUGAGAAUUGACACCCCUAAAUUUAACCCAUCCUACGAUAUCUACCUAAUCGGAACAUAACUACAUAAGGCCAUAAUUGACAAGUUCAUAACCUGGAGAAAAAAAAAGGAGGGAAAAUGAACCCAGAAUUGAAAAGAAGUGAUUUGAAUUUGUCUGAUACUCCAUGUCUCAGUAUAUUUCAGGGUUCUGCAAAUCUUCAACUGCGCGAACAACUAGGUCCAUUCACUAAUAAGUAAGAAUAUGGGUCAAAGACAUAGUCCAGACUUGCUCAUAUUACCCAUGUAGCAUCUAAUGGAAGCAUAUUAUGCAGGUGAUACCCACAGAAAACUACUGUGACAUUCUCAAGGCGUAAUGUUGCUAAUGGUUGUACUACUUGUACAUUUUGGAGACUAUGACUUUUUAAAGUGGAUACGUAUCUCAGUCCCUUUCAUAACGAACCGACAAGGACAACGCACACGGAUGGUCACUGAUAAGACUCCUGUCUUAAUAUAUCAUCGUACAAGACCUUGAUCAGAGUUGGUUGCGGAAGUCUCACCCAAUAUGGUGUUACCUGCAUCUAAAUUUCGAGAAAAUGAUUUUGGCACACCAACUGCUAACUCACAUAACGGUGCGCCGAAAUCAAUAAAAUUUCUCCAAUGGAUGAUGAUUUCUGUCAGACUUUCAAAGGGAGGCAUGAAGAUCAGGAUUUGCAUUAUUUAGUGAAAUAUAUAAGCCAAUUAAAUGUGUGUAAAAUAACUAGAAUUCUUAAAUUUCAGUCAAAUUAUCAAUUUGUAAAUUACGCCUUACUAUUUAUAGAAACAUUAAAGUAUACUUCACAAGAGAGCAUAUAUAUAUGGAAGUUAUUGGCCACUUCCUUAUGAGUUAUGAUUGUGAGACAUGUUAAAUAUGUUAUUGCUUAAUUUAAUUGAUUCUUCGGACAAUAGCAUUAUGUUUCUCUGCAAAUGUUGGACACGAUUUUUUUUAAUUUUUUUUACUUAUCCGUUAGAACAGGGCGAUUUAUGUAACUUUCUUGUUGAAUUUAGCCAAAAAACAGACGUUUGUUUUCCACUAAGAACAAUAAGACGUAUUACAGUGUAAGAUUUAUUCAAUUAUCGUAGUUGA
Spinacia oleracea (spinach) is the source of this 2115-nucleotide long non-coding RNA. RefSeq lists it as uncharacterized. NCBI's taxonomy places the organism in Eukaryota, Viridiplantae, Streptophyta, Magnoliopsida, Caryophyllales, Amaranthaceae. The record is from RefSeq and is a predicted model, not a curated record. The transcript is spliced from 5 exons.